GCGGGCGUGGUGGAACUGGUAGACACAACGGAUUUAGGUUCCGUCGGCGCAAGCCAUGGGGGUUCAAGUCCCUCCGCCCGCACCA
Molecule: transfer RNA, 85 nt
Filed under: Kaistia dalseonensis
Lineage: Bacteria; Pseudomonadati; Pseudomonadota; Alphaproteobacteria; Hyphomicrobiales; Kaistiaceae
Description: tRNA-Leu
Rfam family: tRNA
About the family: Transfer RNA (tRNA) molecules are approximately 80 nucleotides in length. Their secondary structure includes four short double-helical elements and three loops (D, anti-codon, and T loops).
Source: RNAcentral